CCUACGGGUGGCAGCAGUCGGGAAUAUUGCGCAAUGGAGGAAACUCUGACGCAGUGACGCCGCGUGCAGGAAGAAGGUUUUCGGAUUGUAAACUGCUUUAGACAGGGAAGAAACAAGACAGUACCUGUAAAAUAAGCUCCGGCUAACUACGUGCCAGCAGCCGCGGUAAUACGUAGGGAGCAAGCGUUAUCCGGAUUUAUUGGGUGUAAAGGGUGCGUAGACGGGAAGUCAAGUUGGUUGUGAAAUCCCUCGGCUUAACUGAGGAACUGCAACCAAAACUAACUUUCUUGAGUGCUGGAGAGGAAAGUGGAAUUCCUAGUGUAGCGGUGAAAUGCGUAGAUAUCUGGAGGAACAUCAGUGGCGAAGGCGACUAUCUGGCACAUAACUGACGCUGAGGAGCGAAAGCGUGGGUAGCAAACAGGAUUAGAUACCCCAGUAGUC
RNAcentral lists this ribosomal RNA (441 nucleotides) under uncultured bacterium. RNAcentral describes it as "partial 16S ribosomal RNA". It matches the Rfam family "Bacterial small subunit ribosomal RNA", at positions 338 to 795 of the family's 1533-position model. The record is from RNAcentral.